Molecule: ribosomal RNA, 213 nt
Filed under: Vibrio breoganii
Lineage: Bacteria; Pseudomonadati; Pseudomonadota; Gammaproteobacteria; Vibrionales; Vibrionaceae
Description: partial 23S ribosomal RNA
Rfam family: Bacterial large subunit ribosomal RNA
Source: RNAcentral
CCUGAAACCGUGUACGUACAAGCAGUAGGAGCGCCUCGAAGCGUGACUGCGUACCUUUUGUAUAAUGGGUCAGCGACUUAAUUUUAGUAGCAAGGUUAACCGUAUAGGGGAGCCGUAGGGAAACCGAGUCUUAACUGGGCGUCGAGUUGCUAGAAUUAGACCCGAAACCAGGUGAUCUAGCCAUGGGCAGGUUGAAGGUUGAGUAACAUCAAC